Molecule: long non-coding RNA, 3493 nt
Filed under: Ananas comosus (pineapple)
Lineage: Eukaryota; Viridiplantae; Streptophyta; Magnoliopsida; Poales; Bromeliaceae
Description: long non-coding RNA (ACOM_LNC006612)
Source: RNAcentral
ACAAGCACAAGAAAACUAAAAACACUACAACAAAAACGGUCUAUAGUGACACUUUUAAAUGUCGGUACAUGUCAAAAAAAGUACUGUUGGCUAAAUUACCGACACUUUUAAAAAAUAUUGCUAUAUGUGGGGUCGCUAGGUAUAUAGUGACAAUUAAAGAGUGUCGCUAUAACCUAAAAAUAGUGCUGCUAAUUUAACAAUAUUUAUUUAAGCAUCUAGCAACCACCGGAACUCUACCUCGUUGGCUGCGGUGGCGGAGGUGGACGAGAGGAAAGGGCCCUUCGUCUAGGAUUUCAGUGGAAUGGGUGAGAGGAGAAGGAGAGAUGGUAAUCGAUCUUUUUUUAUUUUUUCUUUUCUGUUUAUAAUCGGGCCAAAUGGGCUGGGUUGGGUGGGUUGAGUAGAGUAACAUUUUAUUUUUUGUUGGAUUCGGUUUUAUAUUUAGACAUUAAUAGAUGUAUUUUAAAAUUUUGGUAGAAAUGAGACACUUAGGCAAAAGUGUCUCAAACAUGUGUCGCUAUAAUCUAAUUUUGUUGUAGUGAAAUGACAUGCGAAUUAAUUUCUACCGAACAAAAAGCAAUCAAAGAGUGAUUAGGAAAAUGAUUCAGUUUCACUUCACACAUUUUACUUUUGAAUAAUAAUAUGGUAUCAAAGCCAAUAUUAUGUCCCCAAUCUAUGAACGCCAUACAUACUUGCGAGGAAUUUGUGCUUUUAUAUAUUAUAAACUUUGCCACAAACCUUUUCUUGUAGAUCCUCUUAACAUUUUCCAAUAUUCUGGUUCUUAACAUUUUCCAAUAUUCUGGAUUGACUAUAAUAGGUUUGUUCGAUCAUUACAAAUUAAUCUACUGAGAUGGGAGUACGUAAUUCUGAAGGAUCAGAUUGGUGUUGAGAACUACCAAUACUAACAGCAAGAUCAAACCAAAAAAAAAGUAAAAAUUAUAUCUUAGUUGAACCAAUACGUUACACGCGACACGUAUAUUAUUAUAAUAAAGUGAUUAUUUUUUGUGUCACACUGUUUCAUCGUAUCUAACAACAGUCCUAUCGUAUGAAACGGACGUUUUGUCGCUCUCUUUUACAUCCAAAAAAUUCCAUGUUGCAAUAAUAAGCUUUAAAGAAAUCUCAUCCGCAAUAAAAUUGAGCUGCAGUGGCACCAAUUUCAUGUUAAAUGCUGAAUAAAUCUCAAGGUAAAUGUCAUAUCAAUCGUAUAUAUCACCAUCAUGGAAAAGUCGUGGGAGCAAGCUCUUUUCUAUACACUAUUAAUAGGUAAUAGGAGAAUAUUUAUAACGCAAUUAUGAAGUUUCCAAUCAUUGAAAUGGCUAUAGAAGGUACUAAAGGAAAAGGAAAAAAAAAAAAAAAAAGUGUCAUACCUCCCAAGUAGAAUAUUAGUGUCAAAAUAAAUGAUAAUUAAAGUUUUGACUUUUAUAUGUGUGAAACGUUUUAUAUUUAUCAAAUAAAUUUUUGGGUUUUGUUUGGGCCCUUUAAUAAGAUACCACAGGUUGGUCGAUCACACUUUCCAUGUGGUCUAGUUUCUUUUUUGUUUAGCUUUGUUUCAAUCUGAUUAAUUGCAUCCAGUUUUUAUCUGAUUUUGCCAGGUUCUUUGAACCCAGCUAUGUUGAGUUCUUUUAAGCCUUGUUUGAAUUCAUAAAUCUCUCAUUCAACUUAUAUCUUCUUAAUUUAUUCAACAAACUUGUAGCAUUUGCUGGACAAGAAAUGUGAUCAAACCUAUCGAAUAUAGUUAAGAUAAAUCAGUACCCUACAAUGUGAAAUACGCUUUCCGGCCAUAUCGUGAAUAUUAAAACCGUUCAACAAACAAAAAACAAGCUUCUUACUUCCAAUCACACACAGAAAAAAAAAAAAAAAAGAGUUCAUACCGAACAUUUUAUCAUUGAAUAACUUAUUAUGAUGUGGUCCCACUAUGUAUACAUACAAAAACUUUUUUCAUCUAGCAAUUUCUAAUAUUUUGGAUUAAGUACAUGCCCUUUAAUUAACCUUCAUAUUCAAACUUUUGGCCUUAGGAGACAUAGAAAUGGGAAAAAGCUAGUGUCAUAGUGUCAUACAUAUGAACUCAAUCCUUUAAUAUUACAUCUAAGUAGCUGAACAUUUAUUAAGAUCUAACCUAUUCAGAUUGAAUUUUCAACUCAUAAGUAACAAAUAGCACUUCUUCAAUUGCGUAAGGAUUCUCAAAGAAAAUUAAUUGCUAUACGAUCGUCGAUGUCAAGUUAGGUUUGCUCAUUAAUGUUGUUCAACACGCGCGCCCGUGCGCACACACACACACACGCAUCUUUCUAAUCAAACAAUUUUGACCGGCAGUUUCUUCGUUUAGUUGGUUUUUCAUUGAGUAAUGCUAUGCUUACAAACUAAUUUUAUAACACUUUACAAAUUAGCAUCAAAUUAUGCGGUUUGUGAAAUCUAAAAAUGCAUCUCCAUGUUGCUAGUUAAUUAAGUGGACAAAGUAAGUAUUUAAUGAAGUUAUUUAACUUCGUGGAACCUAAAUUUUCAGAUGUUAGAGAACAACAAAUUUUACAGGUACAACAUUGUGGUCUCUCAAGCGCUUUAAAUUAUCUUGGGCCUAUUGGGCCAUGAAACUGGUUGUGUCUAAUACUAUUACAAAAGGAUUAUUAAUAAUGAUGAGGAACUAAUCCUGGGCCAUGAUGGGCCUCUGAUGUCCCACUCUCUCAAAUUGGGCUAAGAAACUCCUCUACAUAUUAUAACAAAAACGGUCUAUAGCGACAAUUUUGAAUGUCGGUAUAAGUCAAAAAAAGUGCUGUUGGCUAAAUUACCGACACUUUUGAAAAGUGUUGCUAUAUGUGGGGUCGCUAGGUAUAUAGUGACAGUUAAAGAGUGUCGCUAUAACUUAAAAAAAAGUGCUGCUAAUUUACCAACACUUAUUUAGGCAUUUAGCAACCGCCGGAACUCUAUCUCGUUGGCUGUGGUGGUGGAGAAGGACGAGAGGGAAGGGCUCUUCGUCUAAAAUUUUAAUAGAUUGAGUGAGGGGAGAAGGGGAGAUGGUAAUCGAUUUUUCUAUUUUUUUUUUUUUAUUUGUAAUCGGGCCGAAUGGGCUGGGUAGGGUGGGUUGAGUAGAGUAACAUUUUAUUUUUGGUUGGAUUAGGCUUUAUAUUUAGGUGUUAGCAGAUUUUUUUAAAAAUUUAGGCAUAAAUGUGACACUUACACAAAAGUGUCCCAAACAUGUGUCCCUAUAAUCUAAUUCUGUUGUAGUGAGGUUUGGGUUAGUGGGCCCUCGAAAUGUUUGUGUUACAACUUUCGCGCAAGUAUAAAUAUCUUAUUUAGUAUAUCUAUUUAAUUUUUAAGUAGGCACCAUACUUUAUUUGAUUGAGACAAAGUGUAGUAAAAAUGCUUACGCCAGCUUUCGCGCGAGUAUAAAUAUCAUUUCAUUCUUUUUUUUUUUUGAAAAUUAACUCAGAUGGAAAUGUGAAAUAACUAGAUUUAGAAUUUGAGACCUCAGAUAAUAAUCACCAAAUACUUUGCCACUUGCACU